GGCUGAAAUUCGCCUUCAUGAAGCUGGAAUUGCUAGUAAUGGCAGGUCAGCAUACUGCCGUGAAUACGUUCCCGGGCCUUGUACACACCGCCCGUCACACCAUGAGAGUUGGAAAUACCCGAAGCCUGUGAGCUAACUUAAAGAGGCAGCAGUCGAAGGUAGAGCCCAAUGAUUGGGGUGAAGUCGUAACAAGGUACC
RNAcentral lists this ribosomal RNA (198 nucleotides) under uncultured bacterium. RNAcentral describes it as "partial 16S ribosomal RNA". It matches the Rfam family "Bacterial small subunit ribosomal RNA", at positions 1303 to 1500 of the family's 1533-position model. The record is from RNAcentral.